RNAcentral lists this non-coding RNA (48 nucleotides) under Trichobilharzia regenti. The record is from RNAcentral. Lineage: Eukaryota; Metazoa; Platyhelminthes; Trematoda; Strigeidida; Schistosomatidae.
GUCUAGAUGAGGAGUCCCAAAUAGGACGAAAUGAGCGUCAUCCUGAAU